GGGGUUUGAAAGCCUUUUGGAUUAUCAAAGGGAUUUCUGAAACACUUUAAACACCUUGAGUUUGUAUAAUUCUUAUGUUAGGAGUUGGAGAGAUUGGGAAACACUUAAGUAUAAAAUAUUGUUUAGUUUGGGAAUUCCAAAUGUUAUUUUCAUGUAAUUCAUUAUGUAAUCUCUUGUAACAACGAUUCAAGUAUAAUGAAUAAGAUAAUUGCUAUCUCUACCAAACUUA
RNAcentral lists this long non-coding RNA (229 nucleotides) under Lathyrus oleraceus (garden pea). Its description in RNAcentral is "Pisum sativum (pea) long non-coding RNA (PSAT_LNC003515)". The record is from RNAcentral. Lineage: Eukaryota; Viridiplantae; Streptophyta; Magnoliopsida; Fabales; Fabaceae.